Molecule: ribosomal RNA, 468 nt
Filed under: uncultured organism
Description: partial 16S ribosomal RNA
Rfam family: Bacterial small subunit ribosomal RNA
Source: RNAcentral
ACACUCCUACGGGAGGCAGCAGUGAGGAAUAUUGGACAAUGGGUGGAAGCCUGAUCCAGCCAUCCCGCGUGCAGGAAGACGGCCCUAUGGGUUGUAAACUGCUUUUAUCUGGGGAUAAACCUACUUACGUGUAAGUAGCUGAAGGUACCAGAAGAAUAAGCACCGGCUAACUCCGUGCCAGCAGCCGCGGUAAUACGGAGGGUGCAAGCGUUAUCCGGAUUUAUUGGGUUUAAAGGGUCCGUAGGCGGACUGAUAAGUCAGUGGUGAAAUCCGACAGCUUAACUGUCGAACUGCCAUUGAUACUGUUAGUCUUGAGUAAGGUUGAAGUGGCUGGAAUAAGUAGUGUAGCGGUGAAAUGCAUAGAUAUUACUUAGAACACCAAUUGCGAAGGCAGGUCACUAAGUCUUAACUGACGCUGAUGGACGAAAGCGUGGGGAGCGAACAGGAUUAGAAACCCGUGUAGUCCCA